Molecule: ribosomal RNA, 398 nt
Filed under: uncultured bacterium
Lineage: Bacteria
Description: bacterial SSU rRNA
Rfam family: Bacterial small subunit ribosomal RNA
Source: RNAcentral
AUUGAACGCUGGCGGCGUGCCUAACACAUGCAAGUCGAGCGGUAACAGGUGUAGCAAUACAUGCUGACGAGCGGCGGACGGGUGAGUAACGCUUGGGAAUCUGCCUGUUAGUGGGGGACAACCCGGGGAAACUCGGGCUAAUACCGCAUACGCACUACGGUGGAAAGCCGGGGACCGCAAGGCCUGGCGCUAACAGAUGAGCCCAAGUCGGAUUAGCUAGUUGGUAGGGUAACGGCCUACCAAGGCGACGAUCCGUAACUGGUCUGAGAGGACGACCAGUCACACCGGAACUGAGACACGGUCCGGACUCCUACGGGAGGCAGCAGUGGGGAAUAUUGCGCAAUGGGCGAAAGCCUGACGCAGCGACGCCGCGUGGGUGAUGAAGGCCUGGUCGUAAG